GUGCUUGCUUUUGCAGCACAUAGGCUAAAAUUGGAACGAUACAGAGAAGAUUAGCCACGGCCUCUGUGCUAGGAUGACACACACAUUUGUAAGGUGUUCCCUAUUUUU
Small nuclear RNA from Ailuropoda melanoleuca (giant panda), 108 nucleotides. NCBI's taxonomy places the organism in Eukaryota, Metazoa, Chordata, Mammalia, Carnivora, Ursidae. The record is from Ensembl.